CAGGCUUCUCCGAGGAAGACGAGGCACAGGGACAAAAGGAAGAAGCCGAAAGGUUUUGGACGCUGUGAGGAAGGGUUGGAGGAGACUUGUGCACCCCUAGAGACAUGCUGCCUCAUGCACCUGGAGCAGCUCCCCUGGGCUCACCGCCUCAGGAUCAUUGAGAGGAAUAUUCAGUACCUGGCCAGACACCUGGAUGAAGAUC
This is a long non-coding RNA of Malaclemys terrapin pileata, 202 nucleotides long. RefSeq lists it as uncharacterized. The transcript has 3 exons. Lineage: Eukaryota; Metazoa; Chordata; Testudines; Emydidae. The record is from RefSeq and is a predicted model, not a curated record.